CCUGCUUGCUUUCAUCACAUUAGAGGCAGUCAGACUCCUGGCAGGAUAAGGAAAGGUUCUUUCUAAUUAGUUUUUUUUUCACGCUAAUGCUGCUUUCAAAUCUUGCUAAUGAUGAUUUUAGUUUCCUGUGACCUUGUGUGCUUCCUUACUGUGUGUUGCAGUUAGUUUUUUGCAUUUGAAGAUACAGGCAAAACAAGAGACCGGAAUCCAUUGAUUUUGAGACUUGCAUAACUCUGGGAGCAAAGCUGAGCAGUUUCGUGACUGACAUUCACAGCUGUAUCUGUGUGUCCCAGUAAUUCGGUGCACCAGCAGUGAAGCAAACAGUAGAUGAAAGAACCUGCUGAUGAGGCCUUUACAUCUUUACACUGAGCCCUGCCUGUCAGGUUUCUGUGGGACUGGGUUUAGCCUGGCCUUCUGAACUGAGUGCUGCCAUCAAAUGGGCUUGGAAGCUGCUCAGAGCUUCAGUCACUGACUGACUCUUCUGUGCCAUCAAAGCCUGGGUGUGCAGUCACUGAGUGCUCCAGAGGUCACUGCCUUCAUGCCCUGCAGGUUAAAACUACUUCUGGAUUCUGGCAAGAGAGCUUUUCCACAUUUUUACAUGCUGUUCCCAAGCCACUUAUUAGUGGGCCAUUGAUUUAUAGCCAGAAGGUAGCCUCCUCCCAAGUGAAAACCGUGAGAUAUUUGUUUGAAAACAUCAUGCUAAUUUAGUUUUUAUAGCUGGUGAUUAUGAGGAUAAACCAUCAUGUUUAAGAAGUGCAGUUGACUUGGAGGCUAACUGCCAUUAGCUUACAGAAAUCUUUAAUUUUCUACUGCUUCUGGGACCCAAGAGCUGGCUUGAAGAGUGCAGAUCCUCAUGAGCAGGUUUCCUUGCACAGCAAUAUUGCAGUGUGCUGUACCACCUAUAAAAGCAAGCCAUAGUUCAGCUGCUGGUGAUUCCAGGACUGGACACAUCAAUUCUUACAGCCAAUGUCUGCUGGAUCCUCCCCAGUAGCUUAAUUAAGGAGGCUAGUUCACCUUGGAUCCUUCUGACAACGUGCCAGAGAGAAAAGUGUCUCACCUCUCAGCAAAAGGAUGUGUGUGUUUUCGGGCAAUAAACCAACAGAAGGCAUAAAGAACACAGUUUUUCUCAUCUCAGAAGAAACUCAUCAUGAUUUACAUUCUUGUAACUGAGAAAAAAAAAAAAUAAAUGAGGCUCUGAAUAUCUUAGAAGACAUUAUCCAAUUGGAGAAAAGCCAUAAGAUGGAAAGAACUCCCUUCCUGCCACAGCCCCCCACCUCUCUGUAUUACCCUGAUCAUCCCAACACUUGGACUGCUACUCUUUCUGAUGUCUAACUCUGCACACUGUUGGAAAGAGCACUCCAAAACCAAGCUUUUGUCUAUAAAUGUCCAAUGUAAGUAUUUCAGCUGUUUUUAGGUGUCUCUUAACAGACAGUCUUGCUUUUAUCUCCUCUUUUUGACCCUACUUAAGCUACGUGAG
Non-coding RNA from Cyanistes caeruleus (blue tit), 1477 nucleotides. The record is from RefSeq and is a predicted model, not a curated record. Lineage: Eukaryota; Metazoa; Chordata; Aves; Passeriformes; Paridae.